This 125-nucleotide small RNA is filed under the name Marmota monax (woodchuck). The record is from RNAcentral. Lineage: Eukaryota; Metazoa; Chordata; Mammalia; Rodentia; Sciuridae.
GCCAGGCGCAGUGCUGCACGCCUAUAAUCCUAGUAGCUCUGGAGGCUGAGGCAAGAGGAUCGCAAGCUGAAAGCCAGCCUCAGCAAUGGCGAGGUCCUAAGCAACUCAGUGAGACCUUGUCUCUA